Molecule: ribosomal RNA, 1537 nt
Filed under: Klebsiella pneumoniae
Lineage: Bacteria; Pseudomonadati; Pseudomonadota; Gammaproteobacteria; Enterobacterales; Enterobacteriaceae
Description: bacterial SSU rRNA
Rfam family: Bacterial small subunit ribosomal RNA
Source: RNAcentral
AAAUUGAAGAGUUUGAUCAUGGCUCAGAUUGAACGCUGGCGGCAGGCCUAACACAUGCAAGUCGAGCGGUAGCACAGAGAGCUUGCUCUCGGGUGACGAGCGGCGGACGGGUGAGUAAUGUCUGGGAAACUGCCUGAUGGAGGGGGAUAACUACUGGAAACGGUAGCUAAUACCGCAUAACGUCGCAAGACCAAAGUGGGGGACCUUCGGGCCUCAUGCCAUCAGAUGUGCCCAGAUGGGAUUAGCUAGUAGGUGGGGUAACGGCUCACCUAGGCGACGAUCCCUAGCUGGUCUGAGAGGAUGACCAGCCACACUGGAACUGAGACACGGUCCAGACUCCUACGGGAGGCAGCAGUGGGGAAUAUUGCACAAUGGGCGCAAGCCUGAUGCAGCCAUGCCGCGUGUGUGAAGAAGGCCUUCGGGUUGUAAAGCACUUUCAGCGGGGAGGAAGGCGUUAAGGUUAAUAACCUUGGCGAUUGACGUUACCCGCAGAAGAAGCACCGGCUAACUCCGUGCCAGCAGCCGCGGUAAUACGGAGGGUGCAAGCGUUAAUCGGAAUUACUGGGCGUAAAGCGCACGCAGGCGGUCUGUCAAGUCGGAUGUGAAAUCCCCGGGCUCAACCUGGGAACUGCAUUCGAAACUGGCAGGCUAGAGUCUUGUAGAGGGGGGUAGAAUUCCAGGUGUAGCGGUGAAAUGCGUAGAGAUCUGGAGGAAUACCGGUGGCGAAGGCGGCCCCCUGGACAAAGACUGACGCUCAGGUGCGAAAGCGUGGGGAGCAAACAGGAUUAGAUACCCUGGUAGUCCACGCCGUAAACGAUGUCGAUUUGGAGGUUGUGCCCUUGAGGCGUGGCUUCCGGAGCUAACGCGUUAAAUCGACCGCCUGGGGAGUACGGCCGCAAGGUUAAAACUCAAAUGAAUUGACGGGGGCCCGCACAAGCGGUGGAGCAUGUGGUUUAAUUCGAUGCAACGCGAAGAACCUUACCUGGUCUUGACAUCCACAGAACUUUAGAGAUGGAUUGGUGCCUUCGGGAACUGUGAGACAGGUGCUGCAUGGCUGUCGUCAGCUCGUGUUGUGAAAUGUUGGGUUAAGUCCCGCAACGAGCGCAACCCUUAUCCUUUGUUGCCAGCGGUCGGCCGGGAACUCAAAGGAGACUGCCAGUGAUAAACUGGAGGAAGGUGGGGAUGACGUCAAGUCAUCAUGGCCCUUACGACCAGGGCUACACACGUGCUACAAUGGCAUAUACAAAGAGAAGCGACCUCGCGAGAGCAAGCGGACCUCAUAAAGUAUGUCGUAGUCCGGAUUGGAGUCUGCAACUCGACUCCAUGAAGUCGGAAUCGCUAGUAAUCGUAGAUCAGAAUGCUACGGUGAAUACGUUCCCGGGCCUUGUACACACCGCCCGUCACACCAUGGGAGUGGGUUGCAAAAGAAGUAGGUAGCUUAACCUUCGGGAGGGCGCUUACCACUUUGUGAUUCAUGACUGGGGUGAAGUCGUAACAAGGUAACCGUAGGGGAACCUGCGGUUGGAUCACCUCCUUA